GCUUACGGACACCGCCUGGUUCACGCCCGAUCCGCGAUCUCGGAAGCUAAGAUAGGUUGGGCCUGGUUAGUACUUGGAUGGGAGACCGCCUGGGAAUACCAGGGCGUGGGCU
Molecule: ribosomal RNA, 112 nt
Filed under: Scophthalmus maximus (turbot)
Lineage: Eukaryota; Metazoa; Chordata; Actinopteri; Pleuronectiformes; Scophthalmidae
Source: RNAcentral